Onychomys torridus (southern grasshopper mouse) is the source of this 444-nucleotide non-coding RNA. Lineage: Eukaryota; Metazoa; Chordata; Mammalia; Rodentia; Cricetidae. The record is from the annotation of a RefSeq genome assembly.
CUCACCAUGGGAUGGAGCUUGAUCAUUCCCUUUCUCCUGUUGUUAACUACAGGUGUCCACUCCCAGGUCCAGCUACAGCAGCCUGGGGCAGACUUGGUAAAACCUGGGUCCUCAGUGAAGUUGUCCUGCAAGGCUUCAGGCUACACCUUCACUGACUACUAUAUUAACUGGGUGAUGCAGAGACCUGGACAGGGCCUGGAGUGGAUUGGAAGGAUUUAUCCUGGAGAUGGUGGUACUAACUAUAAUCAGAAGUUCAAGGACAAGGCCAAACUGACUGCAGACAAAUCCUCCAGCACAGCCUACAUGGAUCUCAACAGCCUGACACAUGAGGACUCUGGGGUCUAUUACUGUGCAAGAGACACAGUGUUGCAACCACAUCCUGAGUGUGUCAGAAACAGUGGAGGUGCAGGAGGCUGUCCAGGGACAGAGAUGACAGAAGAUUAG